UAGGGAAGGCAGCAGUGGGGAAUAUUGCACAAUGGGCGCAAGCCUGAUGCAGCCAUGCCGCGUGUAUGAAAAAGGCCUUCGGGUUGUAAAGUACUUUCAGUCGUGAGGAAGGUGUUAAGGUUAAUAACCUUAGCAAUUGACGUUAGCGACAGAAGAAGCACCGGCUAACUCCGUGCCAGCAGCCGCGGUAAUACGGAGGGUGCGAGCGUUAAUCGGAAUUACUGGGCGUAAAGGGCACGCAGGCGGUUAAUUAAGUUGGAUGUGAAAUCCCCGGGCUUAACCUGGGAAUGGCAUUCAAGACUGGUUAGCUAGAGUCUUGUAGAGGGGGUAGAAUUCCAUGUGUAGCGGUGAAAUGCGUAGAGAUGUGGAGGAAUACCGGUGGCGAAGGCGGCCCCUGGACAAAGGCUGACGCUCAUGUGCGAAAGCGUGGGGAGCAAACAGGGAUUAGAUACC
This 453-nucleotide ribosomal RNA is filed under the name uncultured bacterium. Its description in RNAcentral is "bacterial SSU rRNA". It matches the Rfam family "Bacterial small subunit ribosomal RNA", at positions 340 to 786 of the family's 1533-position model. The record is from RNAcentral.